This 329-nucleotide unclassified non-coding RNA is filed under the name soil metagenome. Its description in RNAcentral is "partial contains 5.8S ribosomal RNA, internal transcribed spacer 2, and large subunit ribosomal RNA". The stretch from base 1 to 120 matches the Rfam family "5.8S ribosomal RNA", at positions 35 to 154 of the family's 154-position model. The record is from RNAcentral.
GAUGAAGAACGCAGCGAAAUGCGAUAAGUAAUGUGAAUUGCAGAAUUCAGUGAAUCAUCGAAUCUUUGAACGCACAUUGCGCCCCUUGGUAUUCCGAGGGACAUGCCUGUUCGAGCGUCAUUAUAACCCCUCAAGCUCAGCUUGGUGUUGGGGCCUGCUGCACUGGCAGCCCUUAAAAUCAGUGGCGGCGCCAUCUGGCUCUAAGCGUAGUAAUUCUUCUCGCUAUGGAGUCCUGGUGGAUGCUUGCCAUCAACCCCCAAUUUUUCUAUGGUUGACCUCGGAUCAGGUAGGGAUACCCGCUGAACUUAAGCAUAUCAAUAAGCGGAGGA